CCCUUAGAUGUUCUGGGCCGCACGCGCGCUACACUGAUGCAUUCAACAAGCCUAGCCUUGACCGAGAGGUCCGGGUAAUCUUUGAAACUGCAUCGUGAUUGGGCUAGAUUAUUGCAAUUAUUAAUCUUCAACGAGGAAUGCCUAGUAAGCGUGAUUCAUCAAAUCGCGUUGAUUACGUCCCUGCCCUUUGUACACACCGCCCGUCGCUCCUACCGAUUGAAUGUGUUGGUGAGGAGCUCGGAUUGGCAGCAGUUGGUGGUUCGCCACCGGCUAUUGCUGAGAAGUCCUCCAAACCGCCCCAUUUAGAGGAAGGAGAAGUCGUAACA
RNAcentral lists this ribosomal RNA (326 nucleotides) under uncultured eukaryote. Its description in RNAcentral is "partial 18S ribosomal RNA". It matches the Rfam family "Eukaryotic small subunit ribosomal RNA", at positions 1470 to 1796 of the family's 1831-position model. The record is from RNAcentral.